UGGGGAAUCUUGGACAAUGGGCGCAAGCCUGAUCCAGCCAUGCCGCGUGAGUGACGAAGGCCUUAGGGUUGUAAAGCUCUUUUGCCGGGGACGAUAAUGACGGUACCCGGAGAAUAAGUCCCGGCUAACUUCGUGCCAGCAGCCGCGGUAAUACGAAGGGGACUAGCGUUGUUAGGAAUUACUGGGCGUAAAGCGCACGUAGGCGGAUUUGUCAGUCAGGGGUGAAAUCCCGGAGCUCAACUUCGGAACUGCCUUUGAUACAGCAAGUCUCGAGUCCGAUAGAGGUGGGUGGAAUUCCUAGUGUAGAGGUGAAAUUCGUAGAUAUUAGGAAGAACACCGGUGGCGAAGGCGGCCCACUGGAUCGGUACUGACGCUGAGGUGCGAAAGCGUGGGGAGCAA
RNAcentral lists this ribosomal RNA (399 nucleotides) under uncultured bacterium. RNAcentral's name for it is "bacterial SSU rRNA". It matches the Rfam family "Bacterial small subunit ribosomal RNA", at positions 355 to 771 of the family's 1533-position model. The record is from RNAcentral.